UAGGGAAUCUUCGGCAAUGGACGAAAGUCUGACCGAGCAACGCCGCGUGAGUGAAGAAGGUUUUCGGAUCGUAAAACUCUGUUGGUAGAGAAGAACGUUGGUGAGAGUGGAAAGCUCAUCAAGUGACGGUAACUACCCAGAAAGGGACGGCUAAAUACGUGCAAG
Molecule: ribosomal RNA, 165 nt
Filed under: uncultured bacterium
Lineage: Bacteria
Description: partial 16S ribosomal RNA
Rfam family: Bacterial small subunit ribosomal RNA
Source: RNAcentral